RNAcentral lists this ribosomal RNA (377 nucleotides) under uncultured bacterium. RNAcentral's name for it is "bacterial SSU rRNA". It matches the Rfam family "Bacterial small subunit ribosomal RNA", at positions 521 to 896 of the family's 1533-position model. The record is from RNAcentral.
UAAUACGAGGGGGGCUAGCGUUGUCCGGAAUUAUUGGGUGUAAAGGGCUCGUAGGCGGGUCGAUUAGUCGAGAUUUAAAUACCACGGCUUAACCGUGGGACUGGUCUCGAUACUGUCGACCUUGAGUUUGGUAGAGGCAAGCGGAAUUCCUGGUGUAGCGGUGAAAUGCGUAGAUAUCAGGAAGAACACCGAAGGCGAAGGCAGCUUGCUGGGCCAAAACUGACGCUGAGGAGCGAAAGCGUGGGUAGCGAACAGGAUUAGAUACCCUGGUAGUCCACGCCGUAAACGAUGAGUACUUGGUGGCAGGGGAUUCGACCCCUUCGCUGUCGGAGCUAACGCGUUAAGUACUCCACCUGGGGACUACGAUCGCAAGAUUG